UCCGGUUUGGCACCGGCAGUCUUCCUAGAGUCCCCGCCAUUACGCGCUGGCAACUAGGGAUAAGGGUUGCGCUCGUUAAGGGACUUAACCCGACAUCUCACGAUACGAGCUGACGACAGCCAUGCAGCACCUGUCUCUCUGCCCCCGAAGGGGAAACUCUAUCUCUAGAGCUGUCAGAGGAUGUCAAACCCAGGUAAGGUUCUUCGCGUUGCAUCGAAUUAAACCACAUGCUCCACCGCUUGUGCGGGCCCCCGUCAAUUCCUUUGAGUUUUAAUCUUGCGACCGUACUUCCCAGGCGGGGUACUUAAUGCGUUAGCUGCGGCACUGCAGGGGUCAAUUCCUGCAACACCUAGUACCCAUCGUUUACGGCGUGGACUAC
RNAcentral lists this unclassified non-coding RNA (379 nucleotides) under uncultured Oligoflexales bacterium. Its description in RNAcentral is "contains 16S-23S intergenic spacer region". Lineage: Bacteria; Pseudomonadati; Bdellovibrionota; Oligoflexia; Oligoflexales. The record is from RNAcentral.